RNAcentral lists this ribosomal RNA (253 nucleotides) under uncultured bacterium. RNAcentral describes it as "partial 16S ribosomal RNA". It matches the Rfam family "Bacterial small subunit ribosomal RNA", at positions 524 to 776 of the family's 1533-position model. The record is from RNAcentral.
UACGUAGGGUGCAAGCGUUAAUCGGAAUUACUGGGCGUAAAGCGCACGUAGGCGGAUUUGUAAGUCAGGGGUGAAAUCCCGGGGCUCAACCUCGGAACUGCCUUUGAUACUGCAAAUCUCGAGACCGGGAGAGGUGAGUGGAAUUCCCAGUGUAGCGGUGAAAUGCGUAGAUAUUGGGAGGAACACCAGUGGCGAAGGCGGCUCACUGGACCGGUACUGACGCUGAUGCGCGAAAGCGUGGGGAGCAAACAGG